GAUGAAGAACGUAGCGAAAUGCGAUACUUGGUGUGAAUUGCAGAAUCCCGUGAACCAUCGAGUCUUUGAACGCAAGUUGCGCCUCAAGCCAUUAGGUUGAGGGCACGUCUGCCUGGGCGUCACAUAUCGUUGCCUGAUGCCAGUUUCCUCGUGAUGGGUGACUCUGCAGGGCGAAUGAUGGCUUCCCGUGAGCAUUGUUGCCUCAUGGUUGGUUGAAAAUUGAGUCCUUGGUAGGGAGCGCCGUGAUAGAUGGUGGUUGAGUGACGAACGAGACCCAAUCAUGUGAGACCCCUACCGAAUUUGGCCUUCAUGACCCACAUGCGUCUUUGGAACGCUCAUGACGAGACCUCAGGUCAGGCGGGGCUACCCGCUGAGUUUAAGCAUAUCAAUAAGCGGAGGA
This 400-nucleotide unclassified non-coding RNA is filed under the name soil metagenome. Its description in RNAcentral is "partial contains 5.8S ribosomal RNA, internal transcribed spacer 2, and large subunit ribosomal RNA". The stretch from base 1 to 122 matches the Rfam family "5.8S ribosomal RNA", at positions 35 to 154 of the family's 154-position model. The record is from RNAcentral.